AUAUUAUGAUUAGUUUCUCAU
Caenorhabditis elegans is the source of this 21-nucleotide non-coding RNA. The record is from Ensembl. Lineage: Eukaryota; Metazoa; Nematoda; Chromadorea; Rhabditida; Rhabditidae.